Molecule: long non-coding RNA, 540 nt
Organism: Eurypyga helias (sunbittern)
Lineage: Eukaryota; Metazoa; Chordata; Aves; Eurypygiformes; Eurypygidae
Exons: 5
Source: RefSeq, a predicted model, not a curated record
AGCGACUAUAAUGGAGAGACAGAAGAGGAAACAAGAAAUUGAGAAAGGACUUCAGUUCAUUCAGUCCACAUUACCCCUAAGCCAAGAAGAUUAUGAGCCUUUUUGCAGAAGCUGGUGAGAAACCUGUUUGCAGAGGGCAAUGAUUUGUUUCGAGAGAAGGAUUUCAAGCUUUCGCUGGUGCAGUAUGUGGAAGGGCUGAAUGUGGCAGACUACGCAGCCUCUGACGAGGUGACCAUCCCAAAGGAGCUUCUGUGCAAGCUGCACGUCAACCGCGCUGCCUGCUACUUCGCCAUGGGAUUGUAUGAGAAGGCACUGGAAGACAGCGAGAAGGCUUUAAGUCUGGACACGGAGAACAUCCGAGCGCAAAUGAACUGGGAAGACACAAAGAAGCAUACGAGUGCAAUAGCCGAUGCUUGCUGUCCCUCCCACAUGAUGAAAGCGUCACGCAGCUGGGACAGGAGCUUGCCCAGAAGCUGGGACUGAGGGUUCGAAAAGCGUACAAAAGACCGCAGGUAUGACUUUUUUUUUCUUAGAGUCUGU